This 69-nucleotide transfer RNA is filed under the name Alosa alosa (allis shad). RNAcentral describes it as "tRNA-OTHER". Lineage: Eukaryota; Metazoa; Chordata; Actinopteri; Clupeiformes; Clupeidae. The record is from RNAcentral.
UCCUCGUUAGUAUAGUGGUGAGUAUCCCCGCCUGUCGGGGGAGACAGGGGUUCGAUUCCCGGCGGGAGG